Molecule: ribosomal RNA, 512 nt
Filed under: uncultured bacterium
Lineage: Bacteria
Description: partial 16S ribosomal RNA
Rfam family: Bacterial small subunit ribosomal RNA
Source: RNAcentral
GAUGAACGCUGGCGGCGUGCCUAAUACAUGCAAGUCGAGCGAACAGAUAAGGAGCUUGCUCCUUUGAAGUUAGCGGCGGACGGGUGAGUAACACGUGGGUAACCUACCUAUAAGACUAGGAUAACUUCGGGAAACCGGAGCUAAUACCGGAUAACAUUAGAACCGCAUGGUUCUAAAGGGAAAGAUGGUUUUGCUAUCACUUAUAGAUGGACCCGCGCCGUAUUAGCUAGUUGGUAAGGUAACGGCUUACCAAGGCCACGAUACGCAGCCGACCUGAGAGGGUGAUCGGCCACACUGGAGCUGGGACACGGUCCAGACUCCUACGGGAGGCAGCAGUAGGGAAUCUUCCGCAAUGGGCGAAAGCCUGACGGAGCAACGCCGCGUGAGUGAUGAAGGGUUUCGGCUCGUAAAACUCUGUUAUUAGGGAAGAACAAAUGUGUAAGUAACUGUGCACAUCUUGACGGUACCUAAUCAGAAAGCCACGGCUAACUACGUGCCAGCAGCCGCGGUAA